GUGCUGCUCUGGGUGACUCAGUCCAGUCCAGAGAGCCUGAAGUUUCUAAAUCAGAAGGAAACACUGUGUCGCUCAGUUGUUCUUAUGAUACCAGCUCUAGUAAUGUCUAUCUGUACUGGUACCGGCAGUAUCCGCACCAAGCCCCGCAGUACAUUCUCUGGAGUGGAGCGAAGUCCUACAGAGAUCUCAGUGACACCGCAGCUUUCGCCCAGGAGAGGUUUUCUUCCCAGACUGCUGACAGCUCCACAGUUCUGAACAUCACAGCCCUGGAGCUGGCGGACACAGCGGUGUAUCUCUGCACCCUGCGUCUGGCACAGUGA
Non-coding RNA from Terrapene triunguis (Three-toed box turtle), 320 nucleotides. Lineage: Eukaryota; Metazoa; Chordata; Testudines; Emydidae. The record is from the annotation of a RefSeq genome assembly.